This 297-nucleotide ribosomal RNA is filed under the name uncultured bacterium. RNAcentral's name for it is "partial 16S ribosomal RNA". It matches the Rfam family "Bacterial small subunit ribosomal RNA", at positions 190 to 507 of the family's 1533-position model. The record is from RNAcentral.
UGGUAGAAGUAUCAAAGCUCCGGCGGUACAGGAUGGACCCGCGUCUGAUUAGCUAGUUGGUAAGGUAACGGCUUACCAAGGCGACGAUCAGUAGCCGACCUGAGAGGGUGAUCGGCCACAUUGGAACUGAGACACGGUCCAAACUCCUACGGGAGGCAGCAGUGGGGAAUAUUGCACAAUGGGCGAAAGCCUGAUGCAGCAACGCCGCGUGAGCGAUGAAGGCCUUCGGGUCGUAAAGCUCUGUCCUCAAGGAAGAUAAUGACGGUACUUGAGGAGGAAGCCCCGGCUAACUACGUG